This is a long non-coding RNA of Solanum lycopersicum (tomato), 7866 nucleotides long. RefSeq lists it as uncharacterized. The record is from RefSeq and is a predicted model, not a curated record. Lineage: Eukaryota; Viridiplantae; Streptophyta; Magnoliopsida; Solanales; Solanaceae.
UAAAAUAUUUUUGAGCUUUUUCUAUUUUUUUUCUUUAUAUCAUUUUUUUUAAAAGACAUUAAAUCAAACCGAAGUGAACUAAUUUGAUUCAAUAUCGCAUACUUUUCAAUAUAAAAAAUUGAAUGGAAGUUUGAUAAAAAUCAAAUAGAGAAAAUUGAAAUAUUUCUUCCAUACCCAACAACCCCCUAAUGAGCUUCAUUUUCAAUCCUUUUCUAUCGAACCCGAACGAAAGUUGAGAAUCUUCACCAAUAAACAGGUAGGAAAUUGUAGUACUGCUCACUAGGUAUAAAGAAUUCAUCUGGGUUGAUGGAGAACACAGUGCCGAUUUCCACUACUGCUCCAUCAAACUCCAGUACUGGCAAUCGCCGAUCACAGCCACGCUACUUGUACUGUAGCUGCUUCAGGCGCUGCUGCCGCUGUUUCUGCUGCUUCUACUCCUAUCCAUGAUUCGUUGAUCAGAUUCUCUUGACUGCUUGUAAAUAUACGAUGUCUUUUCAGUAUAUAGAAGUGUUGUACAGUUUUCACUUUGUAUUAUUAUACUUUUCGCCCUUUUGUUGAAUAAAGAAUCAAUUGAUGAUCUAUAGCUUUUGUUGGCUAAAGUGAAUUAGUUUAUGUGUAGUUGUAGAAUUAGGAAACAAUUGAUGAUUUCUAUGUGCUAUUCGUAUUAGUGGCUAGUUUAAUUGUUUUCAUGUGAAGGAAAAUUGAGAUGACAGAUAUAUAAUGAGUUAGUUGAAUUUGUUGAUAAUCAUGUAUUAUGAACAAGUAUGUGAAACUUAGGCCUUUUUGGUGUGGCAACAUGUUUUCCUUUGUGAAAUUCUAUUAUGGUGUUUGGUUGCUGAAAUUGUUGGAAAUAAUUUACUAAAUAAGUGUGUGCAACAUUUUCUACUUCCUUCCUACUCCGUUGAAAACUUGCUACUGUUGAGGCAACUGAUUUUCUUAGCAUAGCAUUUUUCCGCGUAAAAUAUGAGCUUUUGGAAUUUUAUUACUUUGUACCAAACAUGGCUUUGCUCCUUUUACCUGAAAAAGACGGAGGCUGAAAAUGAGAAUUCAGGACUGGUGACUACUUGAGUUGUAUGGUCUCAUGUGCUUUUGGUUAAGAAAUCUCCGUACCCAAUUAAAAUUAUGUAUCAAAAGAUUUCUCUAACUUCUGGGAUGUUUGUCUGUUUGUAAAAAUAAGUAUGCGAUUGCUAUAUACACCCACUCAAUACAUUUGGUAUGGUAUAAGAUUCACUGUCCUGAAUAAAUCCAAAAAUUGUUGAAUUCGACAAGUGAUUCCAUCAUUUCUUGUUCAAUAAGAGACAAAUUGUCCGGGCAUGGUCUUUUAAUGAGGAAUCAAGCCAUUACUUUGUAAUUGCUUUAUAUAUGUGAAGAAUUUCUUGCCUGCAUUAGUUGCAUGCUAGUGGAGAGCGUCAUUAAAUAGAAGAAAAAUGAAGUGUCCAAUAAUUAUGUGAAGGUUUAGAGCAGUUAUGUGACUUCAAAAAAAAGUGUCGAUGUAAGUAGUGUGGAUACAAGCACAUAUCAGAAGUUAUGUUGAAGAUAGAAGAUGGAUGGCAUGCAUACAUGACCUAGAAGGUAUCUAUUAGCUGCUGAGGUAUGUGGUACUGUUCCAAGUAGCUAUAUGCAAUUGUAAAGAUUGAUAUAUGUGUGGGUGAAAUCCUAUUUCAUUGCUAUAUAAGCUGAAAUGGAACAGUAAGGCUUAUGGAAUUACUAUGGUUUGAGCCAAAUAUGUGAUUUACUGUCUAAUUAGAGCUACCAAUCUGAGAGCUUUCAGGACUUCAACUUGUCAAUCCGUAAGUUCACUUCUUAGCUCACAUUAUAAUCUAUCAAUCUCAAAGAAGUUGUCCCUUUCAUAGUGGCCACGUGUGGGAGAAGGGUGGUGAAAGAUCAUUUUGUCUAUGAUUGGAACCAUUUAAACAAAAUAGUUAGUUGCUUUACUACUUGAAUAAGAAACUAUCUCAGUAGUUUGUAAUAGUUGACACUGCUCUAUACUCAUAAUACUCGUAAUUUGGUUUAGUGUUUUCAAAUAUCUUCACACUAGAUUGAAGCAACAUUGUGUGGGUGCUCCUUUUAUUGUCUUUCAUUUACAAGUUCUUUUAACUUUGACUUUAAUUUCGUUAUUUUUUUAAAUGCAUCUUUCUACUAGGCUCCUCUAUAUCUAUCUUCAAAGACCAGAUUAGAGAAUUAUUGUGGAGAACACUGAUGACCAACCACCAUUCAAGGCACUCUCCAAAUUAAACAGAAAAUCUUUAUAUGCAUGUUGCACAUGUUCAAUUCCUCCCUUCUCGUCUUCUGUGCAAUUUUUUGAACUUUAUUGUUCAUUGUCCUGAUAUUAUCUUCCUGCUGUUGUCAUUCUCAAUUUGCAUAUACACCUUUCAACAACAAAAUACCCAGUGUAGUUCCACAAAGUGGGGUCUAGAUUUGCAUGUGAACCUUUAUUGGGUGAAAUUCUGUACUAAAUUUUGUAGGUUCCAUUCUUUGGUGCUGCAAGGUUGGAAAAUGUUGUCAUUGCUUUGUAAGUUUUUUUUUUUUUUUUUUAACAACGAUUGCUUCGUAAGUUUCUUUGUUCUCUGUCAUUUAAGAAGGUGACUAUUCCAUGUCUCUCUGGUGAAAAACUACUAAGAGGAUUUCAACCAACCAACUGUUAUCUACUUUCUCCGUAUGAAAAAUUAUUCUAUAGAGAAUUUACUACUAUGGAUUUGAUGAAAAUUUCCUAAAUUUAGUAGAAUGCUCUUUUUUUUUUCAAAAGAAUGGAAGUUGUCAGUAUGCAAUGUUAAGAGUUUGAAUAUUUAAAGUAUUAGGUGUAUGUUAGAAUAUACUUGUCUUAUGUUGAAUACCUAUGAAUUGAUAUACCCUGUAUUCAUCAAAUUGCCUAGCCUUCAAUAUAUCUCUACCACCUAAGCUUAAAGGCAAGUUCUACAAUUUGUUGUGUGGGAUGGAGUUUGGCCAAUCAAGAACUCCCAUAGUCCCAUGUUCAACAGGUGCAUGUUGAGGAAAUGAGGAUGCUUAGAUGGAUGUAUGGGUAUCCUAGGAGCGAUAAGAUUAAGAAUGAGGAUAUCCGAGCAAAGGUGGGAGUGGAAUUAGUGGUGGACAAGAUGAGUGAAGCGAGGCUGAGAUAGUUUGUGCAUGUGAAGAGGAGAUACACAGAUGCUUUUGUGAGGAGGUGUGAGAGGUUGGAUAUAGUGGGUGCAAGGAGAGGUAGAGGUAGGCUGAAAAAGCAUUGUGGAGAGGUUAUUAGAGGACAUGGCACAAUUCUAGCUUACUGAGGACCUGUCCUUAGAUAGGAGGGUGUGGAGGUCACAAAUUACGGUAGAAGGUUAACAUGUAGUGGAAGGUUCUCUUGCUUCCUGAAGGGUUUAGGCUUAGUGGUGUCUGUAGUAGUAGUAGCUUUUUUCUUGUAAUGUCUUGCGUUUGCUUUUUAACACCAUCUAUUUUUAUGAUGUUUCGUUGAUUGCAUUCUUUUGUUGUUGUUACUGUUUCCAUAGUAGUUGCUAUAUUUUCUUCUCUGUCCUUUUUCCUUUUCAUACUUACUUUGAUUGCUGUACUCGAGUCUAAGGUCUUGUAGAAACAGCUUUUCUACCUCCGCGACUGGUAUUUCACUGGGUAUGUUAAUGUCUGCAUACUCUCUACCUCCCAGACACACUUGUGGGAUUUCACUGUGUAUGUUGUUGUUUUUGGUAUCCUUAAGUUUUAAGUAAUUUCUGCCUGCUGGUUCUCUUACACUGCUUGGCCGGCUAAAGGUCUUUUUCUUUCUGGUGUAGGGCUGUCUGCCUGGCCAAAGUCUUCUCUUCUUUUCCUCUAUCUGGCAAUUGUUCUGACAUCGUCACCUUCUCUUUGACAAUUACUCUAGCACGCCAUGCCUCUAUCCUCACUCUCACACUCUGCCUUUUCUGGACAACGGCUUUGACAGCACUAUGCCCCUUAACAGUGAUUGCUCCAGUGGAACCACACCUCUUUUGGCGACCAUUCCAAUACCACUGCUCUUAAUUUCUAUGUCACUCCCAUAGCAGUGGGCCUCUAUUCAGGAAACUGUUCAAACGGAUUUGUGCGUUUCCUCAAUGAUAUUUCUGGCAAUGCCAUGUUUCUUCUGGUGAUCUUUCUGGUGGCGCAGCGUCUCAUUCAGCUGACCAACCAGCCAAAUAGCGUGCCUCUUUUCAAAUAAUAUUCUUACUACAAUUUUCCUUGCAACAUCCCAGCAACCACAACUUUUCUGACAACUUUGUACCUAUUUUCCAGUGAUAUUUCUAUAUUACUAUAAUAAGCAAACUCAAGUUGGUUUCUCCACUUUGAAAUGUUGAGUCCUGUGAUGGAUAUUGUUGUACUGGAAAAAUAUUGGAUCUGUGUCAUGUUUAACACUUAAUAAUAGUAAGUCUCAUUCACUUCUCUUGUUUCUCAUUCGUUCAUAGUACUUUCAAUGUGGCCCAGGAAUAUCCCCAAUUAGUUUAAGUGAAAUCAAGGAAAUGAUCAACCAGAAAAUUGAAGUGUUUAACCUCAUCAUACUCUGAGCCGCUGAAAGGAUAUGUUUGGGUCAUUUCUUUUCAUGAGGUAACACGACUCCAGAAGUACAUGAAGAGAUGAAGUCCAUCAUGCGUGUUUCUUCUUAUCCGCUCUUUAUUCAUCCAUUUCUCUUCUCUGUUUGAUCCUUUUAAGGAAAGCACAGGUCAAAGAUAAAGGUAUGACAACCUAAACAAUGGAGUGGGAUGCUGUCCACUUCUCCUGCUAAUUUCCAUCAGAACUCAGUUCUCGGGCAUCCAUCACUAGCAAGGGAAAGUGGGUAACCAGUCUCCUCCGCCCUCGCCUUUCCCUCUCCUCCUCUUUAUUUAGGGGCAUGGAGGAGUAAGUAAGUGGCUUGAGGGGGCCUUUAGGAGUGUGAAAGACCGGGAUUAUGAAAAAAGAGAUGCAUAGAUAUGCAGAGUACAAGUUGCAUCUUGUGGGGUACUGGAACUAGGAAAGUUGUGAAAUGAAUAGAACUAAAAUGACCUCUUCUUUUUGAACCCCUGGGGGUGGCUUAGUGGUUGAAGUGCUGGAGUGAUUGUAGUUCAAAUUCCAGUAGAGGUGAGAUUCUGUGAUUCUUGCUAUCUAUUUAAGUCUGUAUGUAUAGGGUUACCAAAUCUUGGAAAUUAGUCAAAGUGUGUGUCUACUGGCCCUGAUAUCGCCAUUCUUACAAAUAUGGUCUCACUUUCAUAUCCUCAUUGUCCAAUUCCUCAAAAUGAUAAUUUAAUGGCUAUUGGUGCCUUUGGUUUUCUGUAUCAUCGCAGAAGCUGAUUUCUCUCUCGUUUUUGUAUCUCCGAUUUUGCGAGAGGAAGAUAUAUGCAAGAUUGGUAGUCUGGUUUUCAUGGUACAUGCACCAAAUGGAGGACCCUAAGCAUGUUCCAUGUCUUUCAAAAUGAUCUCAAGUUGUCAUAUCCAAAAAAAAUAUAUGUAUAUCUUGCUGCUAAUUAAAUCAUCCUAUUUAUGUUUGAAGAUAUGAGUAUCGACCAGAGUAAAUUUGACAAGGAAUGUGUCUAGCAGUGUGCUUGGUUGUGGGUACAUUUUUGCUGGUCUUUAUUCAUUCUAGUAGAAAGUGAUAAAAAAAAAUAGAUUUAUUCGUCAGCUGAAGCAUAUGAGGCUUGAGAAUUUGCAUGAACACGAGUCAAUUUCAAGAAAAAUCCUGGUAUCUGUUGAGGUUUUUGCUUGAAAUGAAAACCACCAGGUUUUACUGCGGAUUUGAUGAUCUUGUGUCUUCAAGUUCCUUUGCUAGCAAUCUCUUCGAAAAAGGGCAAUUUAAUGUUAACCUUCUAUCUCUUUACCCUUCCUUCUCUCCCGCUUCAACAAGUGGCAUCAACUGUUACUGUUUUAAUUCUCUGAAUCCUCUUCCUCUCUUUCUGUUUCUUGCUGUCACCUGUCCCUCACUAAUGAAAUUAUGUGAUCAAUCGCAAACUGUGCAACCACCUAAUGCUUUUCGGCCUAUGAUAAUGAAAUUUCAUGUUUUGUAGUGCUACUAUUGGUGCUUUAUAUCAAUCUGUGAAACGCAAACCUAAAUUGUACCAACACAAUGGUAUUUUUUACGAUAGUUAGCUUAAAAAAAGGUGCAAAUAUUUGACUUGACCAUAGAUGUGGUUGAUCUCUUCUGUAAAUAGAUAUUGUUUUCCUCCUCAAGGAAAAGUAAUGAAUAUUUUGGAUCGAUAAAAAACUAGAGAACAUAUCUUAGUGAAUGUUUAUUUCUAUAGCAUUACAGUGAAUCAUCAGCGAUCUGUAAAGAAAAACUAAGAAAUCCUUCUCAAAAGGAGAUAAAAUAACUGGAAUUUGGUGUUUCUGAUCAAGUCUUCAAGAACUACACAGCUCAUAGAAGAGGAACCUGAUAGUCUGAAGGUGUUGUUCUAUUUUCGACUGAAUGGCUGACACUCCUCAUUCCAGCCGGAUAUUAUAGUAGUUUGUUCUACCCUGGGGUUAGUUGUGCCAUUUAUGGUGGUUAUAGUGAAGCAUAUCUCGUUAAGGCCAUCCAUUACUAUCAUUUCACUAAUUUGAAGUUUGACUUGCUUUUUAUUGGCCAAGGGAAUUUUGGCAGGAGGGAUUUCUAGCUUGAUCUUAAUCUUGGCAAGACGAACCCAAAUGAGUGAAAUUGUUUACUCGAGAUCAAAGAGCCUACUUCAUGCAUUUAUUAUGUGUCACUGCUUAAUCAUUCUUGGAAGGCUACACAACUAAAACACAUUUGGUUGGAUAAUAGUUUGUGCAUGGAUUUUGAUACUUUAAACUUCUAUCCUUUUUCCCAGGUAUCUGCUCAAAGAGUUUUCCAGGGCAGUGUGUUGAUAAAUUGCAUACUUGUGAACUGGUGUAAGUCACACUUGAUUUGACUGAAUAUAUCAAUACUUUAUGUGACAGUUGCAGGAGAAGAGCAUAAAAGUCCACGAGACAGAACGGAUAUUGGCAAACCCUACUGGCAAGAUCUUUUUACAUGCAAUGCAUAAAUCAUACUGAUAUUCUUAUAUGACGAGCUGAAAGUUUUGUUGAAUUCAACCUCCUUGUUAGCUUUCCUUGCACAACCCUCCUCCCUUGUCUAUAUCUCACUGUUAUAUGGUGUAUAAUUGUCCUAGAACUCAUAGUCAGCCUUCUUUAUUGCCUAGUCGUCUUAAUGUUCAUAAUGAGCAGAAAUAUUAAUAUGGAAACGUAAAGAUAUGACUAUUGAAUCUAAUUCAACCCCAAAAGCAAGCUCAUGAGGAGAAGAUCGCUCAAGUUCAUAUAAGUAGUCCAUCUGUUCAUUCUUCACCCAAUGUAAGAUUCUAAUCCAUUCUUACACCUUCUUCAUGCCUAGACUCAACUUGAGCCUGGACUAGGAGCUCAAACGAGGGUGGAACUGUCCUUGAUACCAUGUGAAGUAUAACAUUUGAGGCUAAUUCAACUCUUAAUGCAAGUUCAUGAGGGGAGGAUUUUGUCCAAGUUCAUAUAAAUAGACCAUCCGUCCAUUCUCCAAUCAAUGGGAUCCUUGUAGCAUGAUAAAAGUCUUCGUACAACCUACAGAUCACAGAUUCGAGUCGUGGGAUUCAGCUAGCUAGGUUGACUGUUACAUUACACUCCUUGAGGUACGGUCUUUCCCUGAAUCAUGCGUGAAUGUGGGAUGUUUAGUUUACGUUGCUCUUUUAUUUGCAAGUCUACUUAUUUUUGUGUUCCACUCCGUGGUCCUGGGAAAGUGCCAUAAACGAUGUUACCUGCAAGUUGUUCCUUAAUAGUAUUUAUUCUUUGUCCCCUUAUCCGCUGGCUUGACUGCUAGUUUCAUGUCAUCGAAAGCGAGGGGUUUCUUUUUUAUCUUUUUGUCUUUUCUACUUAAAUCCCAAUGGACCUAUUGCACUUGUUACAUUUCAUUUUAGAGUUUGCACCUUUUUUCUCUCUUUA